RNAcentral lists this ribosomal RNA (468 nucleotides) under uncultured bacterium. RNAcentral describes it as "partial 16S ribosomal RNA". It matches the Rfam family "Bacterial small subunit ribosomal RNA", at positions 28 to 507 of the family's 1533-position model. The record is from RNAcentral.
GACGAACGCUGGCGGCGUGCUUAACACAUGCAAGUCGAACGGUGAAGCUCCAGCUUGCUGGAGUGGAUCAGUGGCGAACGGGUGAGUAACACGUGAGCAACCUGCCCCUGACUCUGGAAUAAGCGCUGGAAACGGCGUCUAAUACUGGAUACGAGAAGGGUCCGCAUGGGCACUUUCUGGAAAGUUUUUCGGUUGGGGAUGGGCUCGCGGCCUAUCAGCUUGUUGGUGAGGUAAUGGCUCACCAAGGCGACGACGGGUAGCCGGCCUGAGAGGGCGACCGGCCACACUGGGACCGAGACACGGCCCAGACUCCUACGGGAGGCAGCAGUGGGGAAUAUUGCACAAUGGGCGAAAGCCUGAUGCAGCGACGCCGCGUGAGGGAUGACGGCCUUCGGGUUGUAAACCUCUUUCAGCAGGGAAGAAGCGAAAGUGACGGUACCUGCAGAAGAAGCACCGGCUAACUACGUG